UUAUUGUAACCCAGUACCACCUGCC
RNAcentral lists this unclassified non-coding RNA (25 nucleotides) under Mus musculus (house mouse). Its description in RNAcentral is "oocyte_clustered_small_RNA12383". The record is from RNAcentral. Lineage: Eukaryota; Metazoa; Chordata; Mammalia; Rodentia; Muridae.